RNAcentral lists this ribosomal RNA (719 nucleotides) under Cryptosporidium ryanae. Its description in RNAcentral is "partial small subunit ribosomal RNA". The record is from RNAcentral. Lineage: Eukaryota; Apicomplexa; Conoidasida; Eucoccidiorida; Cryptosporidiidae.
GGAUCACAYUAUGUGACAUAUCAUUCAAGUUUCUGACCUAUCAGCUUUAGACGGUAGGGUAUUGGCCUACCGUGGCUAUGACGGGUAACGGGGAAUUAGGGUUCGAUUCCGGAGAGGGAGCCUGAGAAACGGCUACCACAUCUAAGGAAGGCAGCAGGCGCGCAAAUUACCCAAUCCUAAUACASSSAGGUAGUGACAAGAAAUAACAAUACAGAGCCUUACGGUUUUGUAAUUGGAAUGAGUUAAGUAUAAACCCCUUAACAAGUAUCAAUUGGAGGGCAAGUCUGGUGCCAGCAGCCGCGGUAAUUCCAGCUCCAAUAGCGUAUAUUAAAGUUGUUGCAGUUAAAAAGCUCGUAGUUAAUUUUCUGUUAAUUUUUAUAUACAAUGCUACGGUAUUUAUAUAAUAUUAACAUAAUUCAUAUUACUUUUUUHNAWWUUAHWHUUUAGUAUAUGAAACUUUACUUUGAGAAAAUUAGAGUGCUUAAAGCAGGCUAUUGCCUUGAAUACUCCAGCAUGGAAUAAUAUUAAGGAUUUUUAUUCUUCUUAUUGGUUCUAGAAUAAAAAUAAUGAUUAAUAGGGACAGUUGGGGGCAUUUGUAUUUAACAGUCAGAGGUGAAAUUCUUAGAUUUGUUAAAGACAAACUACUGCGAAAGCAUUUGCCAAGGAUGWWYYCAUUAAUCAAGAACGAAAGUUAGGGGAUCGAAGACGAUCAGAUACCG